Molecule: ribosomal RNA, 429 nt
Filed under: Bacillota bacterium
Lineage: Bacteria; Bacillati; Bacillota
Description: Firmicutes bacterium partial 16S ribosomal RNA
Rfam family: Bacterial small subunit ribosomal RNA
Source: RNAcentral
UAGGGAAUCUUCCGCAAUGGACGAAAGUCUGACGGAGCAACGCCGCGUGAGUGAUGAAGGUCUUCGGAUCGUAAAACUCUGUUAUCAGGGAAGAACAAGUAUCGGAGUAACUGCCGGUACCUUGACGGUACCUGACCAGAAAGCCACGGCUAACUACGUGCCAGCAGCCGCGGUAAUACGUAGGUGGCAAGCGUUGUCCGGAAUUAUUGGGCGUAAAGCGCGCGCAGGCGGUCUCUUAAGUCUGAUGUGAAAUUCCGUGGCUUAACCACGGGCGGUCAUUGGAAACUGGGGGACUUGAGUGCAGAAGAGAAGAGCGGAAUUCCACGUGUAGCGGUGAAAUGCGUAGAGAUGUGGAGGAACACCAGUGGCGAAGGCGGCUCUUUGGUCUGUAACUGACGCUGAGGCGCGAAAGCGUGGGGAGCGAACAGG